Molecule: ribosomal RNA, 526 nt
Filed under: uncultured bacterium
Lineage: Bacteria
Description: bacterial SSU rRNA
Rfam family: Bacterial small subunit ribosomal RNA
Source: RNAcentral
GGCGCUUGAAGAUGAGCCCGCGUCCGAUUAGCUAGUUGGCGGGGUAAUGGCCCACCAAGGCUUCGAUCGGUAGCCGGCCUGAGAGGGCGGACGGCCACACUGGAACUGAGACACGGUCCAGACUCCUACGGGAGGCAGCAGUGGGGAAUUUUCGCAAUGGGCGCAAGCCUGACGAAGCAACGCCGCGUGGAGGAUGAAGGUCUUCGGAUUGUAAACUCCUGUCGACCGGGACGAAUGCACUCGACCUAAUACGUCGGAAUGUUGACGGUACCGGUGGAGGAAGCCACGGCUAACUCUGUGCCAGCAGCCGCGGUAAUACAGAGGUGGCAAGCGUUGUUCGGAAUUACUGGGCGUAAAGGGCGCGUAGGCGGCCUUAUAAGUCUCGUGUGAAAGCCCCUGGCUUAACUGAGGAUCUGCACGGGAUACUGUAAGGCUCGAGUUCGGGGAGAGGGAAAAGCCGGGAAUUCCGGGUGUAGCGGUGAAAUGCGUAGAUAUCCGGAGGAACACCAGUGGCGAAGGCGGCUUU